GAGGGUUUAGCUCAGUGGUAGAGUACCUGCUUAGCAUGCAUAAGGCCCUGGGUUCAGUCCCCACUACCUCCA
RNAcentral lists this transfer RNA (72 nucleotides) under Camelus bactrianus (Bactrian camel). It matches the Rfam family "tRNA". Rfam says of the family: Transfer RNA (tRNA) molecules are approximately 80 nucleotides in length. Their secondary structure includes four short double-helical elements and three loops (D, anti-codon, and T loops). RNAcentral also lists the same sequence under 2 other names. The record is from Rfam by way of RNAcentral. Lineage: Eukaryota; Metazoa; Chordata; Mammalia; Artiodactyla; Camelidae.